RNAcentral lists this ribosomal RNA (553 nucleotides) under uncultured Bacteroidales bacterium. RNAcentral's name for it is "bacterial SSU rRNA". It matches the Rfam family "Bacterial small subunit ribosomal RNA", at positions 194 to 751 of the family's 1533-position model. The record is from RNAcentral. Lineage: Bacteria; Pseudomonadati; Bacteroidota; Bacteroidia; Bacteroidales.
CGCAUGAUUAAAGGUAUUUUCCGGUAGACGAUGGGGAUGCGUUCCAUUAGAUAGUAGGCGGGGUAACGGCCCACCUAGUCAACGAUGGAUAGGGGUUCUGAGAGGAAGGUCCCCCACAUUGGAACUGAGACACGGUCCAAACUCCUACGGGAGGCAGCAGUGAGGAAUAUUGGUCAAUGGGCGAUGGCCUGAACCAGCCAAGUAGCGUGAAGGAUGACUGCCCUAUGGGUUGUAAACUUCUUUUAUAUGGGAAUAAAGUCGGGUAUGCAUACCCGUUUGCAUGUACUUUAUGAAUAAGGAUCGCUACUCCGUGCCACACCGCGGUAUCGGAGGAUCCGAGCGUUAUCCGGAUUUAUUGGGUUUAAAGGGAGCGUAGAUGGAUGUUUAAGUCAGUUGUGAAAGUUUGCGGCUCAACCGUAAAAUUGCAGUUGAUACUGGAUGUCUUGAGUGCAGUUGAGGCAGGCGGAAUUCGUGGUGUAGCGGUGAAAUGCUUAGAUAUCACGAAGAACUCCGAUUGCGAAGGCAGCCUGCUAAGCUGCAACUGACAUUGAGG